This 344-nucleotide unclassified non-coding RNA is filed under the name soil metagenome. Its description in RNAcentral is "partial contains 5.8S ribosomal RNA, internal transcribed spacer 2, and large subunit ribosomal RNA". The stretch from base 1 to 120 matches the Rfam family "5.8S ribosomal RNA", at positions 35 to 154 of the family's 154-position model. The record is from RNAcentral.
GAUGAAGAACGCAGCGAAAUGCGAUACGUAAUGUGAAUUGCAGAAUUCAGUGAAUCAUCGAGUCUUUGAACGCACAUUGCGCCCCCUGGUAUUCCGGGGGGCAUGCCUGUCCGAGCGUCAUUGCUGCCCUCAAGCACGGCUUGUGUGUUGGGCCUCCGUCCUCCUCCCGAGGGACGGGCCCGAAAGGCAGCGGCGGCACCGCGUCCGGUCCUCGAGCGUAUGGGGCUUCGUCACCCGCUCUUGUAGGCCCGGCCGGCGCUUGCCGACACAUCAAUCUUUUUUCCAGGUUGACCUCGGAUCAGGUAGGGAUACCCGCUGAACUUAAGCAUAUCAAUAAGCGAGGA